RNAcentral lists this ribosomal RNA (252 nucleotides) under Romboutsia sedimentorum. Its description in RNAcentral is "partial 16S ribosomal RNA". It matches the Rfam family "Bacterial small subunit ribosomal RNA", at positions 524 to 776 of the family's 1533-position model. Lineage: Bacteria; Bacillati; Bacillota; Clostridia; Peptostreptococcales; Peptostreptococcaceae. The record is from RNAcentral. RNAcentral also lists the same sequence under 4 other names.
UACGUAGGGGGCUAGCGUUAUCCGGAAUUACUGGGCGUAAAGGGUGCGUAGGUGGUUUCUUAAGUCAGAGGUGAAAGGCUACGGCUCAACCGUAGUAAGCCUUUGAAACUGAGAAACUUGAGUGCAGGAGAGGAGAGUAGAAUUCCUAGUGUAGCGGUGAAAUGCGUAGAUAUUAGGAGGAAUACCAGUUGCGAAGGCGGCUCUCUGGACUGUAACUGACACUGAGGCACGAAAGCGUGGGGAGCAAACAGG